This 5556-nucleotide long non-coding RNA is filed under the name Brassica napus (rape). RNAcentral describes it as "long non-coding RNA (BNAP_LNC003716)". The record is from RNAcentral. Lineage: Eukaryota; Viridiplantae; Streptophyta; Magnoliopsida; Brassicales; Brassicaceae.
CUUGGAGGAUCCGGUGAGCAUCUGGACGACUUGCUUGAAGGAGGAAGCAUCGGUUUGGAAGAAGGUAGUUCGUUCAGACAUGGAGGUAACGUGUCGGGUCGGACUGCUGAUGCUGCUUGGUGAAGGAAGCGAGCUCUGUGCGUUAUCUUUGUAUCUUGGUGAAUUUUUCAUUGAAGCACGCGUUGAGAAAGAGGUCUCGUGUUUACACUUUUACACUAGUUGAAGGGAAAUGUAUGUGUAAUUUUAUAAGAAAGAACAAGUCUAAUUUUUUCCAAAAAUAAUUAAUCAUUUAGUAAUUAAUUAUUUAAAGUUAUAGAUAAUGUAAUAAAUAAGUUUGUAUCUAUUUGGUGGCAAAUAGCAAACUGAGAAGUUUUUUAGAAAACAACCGGCAAAAGUUGAUCACUGGAUAAAAUUAGACAUUCACAUUGAAAAUAAAUUGAUGGAAAUAUUACAGAAAAUUAAUCUAAGGGUGAUUUUUCUUUUCUCUUUCGUUUUACUAGUAAAAACAAAAGUAAUUUGUUUUGGGAGUAAGAAAGAAGUUUUGUUUUAAUUGACAGGAAAAGUCCUUCCUCUUUGUGUGUGUUUUGGUUCGAAAUGUUCGGAUGGGGCCUAUUUUCUUUCAGAGAGUAUUUAUUAGGGGUGGACACUUCCGUUAUUUUCUCGGUUCGGUUUGGUUAGUUUGGUUCUAGUAUUUUUCCAACUGAAAUAAACCAUAGUUAGUUUGGUUUGGUUCGGUUUGUGUUCAGUUCAAUUUAUAUUCAGUUCGGUUUGUUUUCGGUUCGGUUGAGUUUUUUUUGGAUCAGUUUAAUUAGGUUCUUCUUAGUUUAACUUUUUUUAAGAGAAAUUAUUUUUUAAAACAUAAAUUAUGUAAACAUAAACUAUAUGAACUAAAUUCAAUUUAAAACUGAAACAAAAACUUUUUAAAAGUGUAAAAAAAUAAGAAUUAAAACAAAUAAAAGUUGACUAAAAAAUCAACAUCAUUUUUAAGAGAAAUUAUUUUUUAAAACAUAAAUUACGUCAAUAUAAACUAUAUUAACUAAAUUCAAUAUAAAACUGAAAGAAAAACUUUUUAAAAGUGUAAAAAAAAUAAGAAUUAAAACAAAUAAAAGUUAACUAAAAAAAAAUCAACAUCAUUAGUAAUAUCUUUUAUAUCAUUAUUAAAAAGCCUACAAUAAAUCAUCUUCCAUGUGAUAUGUGACGCUUUGGAAAAGAACUUUUUUUUGUUAAUUAAAUUUGCUUUAGAUUUUAGGUUUAAAUUUAACAUCCACGUUUACAUAUAUAAAAAUAUAAAAAUACAGACUUUUCUAUUUUUUUAAAUCAAAUAUUUUAAUUAUUACAUGUUCGGUUAAAAUAAUAUAUGUUAAUGAAUGAAAAAUGGAAAAUAUCUGGUUUGAUAUUAGAAUUUUAAUAUAUUGGUAUUACUAAUAUUUGUAAUUUAAAUAAUUAUAAAAUACAUCGUUUUCCCGGUUCGGUUUAAAACUGAACCAAACUAAAUCAUUCGGGUUGGAGAAAUUUUCAACCGAAUGGUUUGAAAUAGAUUUUGGUUCGGUUUGACUCGGCUUGACUCGGUUUGGUUCGUUUUUUUUCCACGCCUAGUAUUUAUAUGCUGUCACGCGCCGUAUGUUGAGAGUGACGUGCACGCGGCGCCGUCAAAACUAGGGAACUGGCUACGUUGCUUGGUGCAUGGGUGUUAUGGUGUGUAUGUGUUGUCCCUACUGACUUUUUCAAUUGCACUUUCCACACUCGUGACGAUUUGUUUUAGACUUUGCGUUAACUGCUACUAUAAUCCAAAAAUCAUUGACCAUUUCUAUGAAACAUUUGCAAAAUCUAAGGAUAUUUGUGAUGAUUAUGAUUAUUUUGUCAAUACGAAAUCUUCUUACUGACCACUUAAGAUAAGAAAGAGGACAGUCUGGCCAGAUAUAUGUUCUUCCUUUAACAUCCGUUAUCUAGUUGGGUAUCAGUAAAUUGAACUGGGCUUGAGGUCUUUAAAUAUGAACAUUCAAUAAAUGCAUUUCUAGUUUGAUUGGGAAGUUUUACCCUUUGCUUUGGGAUGGUUCUUCUAACGAAAACGACUUUAAUUUCGGCUGUCUUAGCUCUUUUUUCGAAGCCAACCGCGGUCUUUCGUUGUUGAAGGACAUCUUGAUUAGUUGAGGACUACCAGAGGCCGUGUUUGAUUUACAACUAGACAUUUCAUAAGGUCAAGUAAUUCUAGACGUCGAAUUACUUAUUUAUUUAUUUGUCGCCAACUAAUGAAUCUUCAUUCGUUUCUUUUUAAUCAAAAUUUCGUAUCAACAAAAAAAAAAAGUUCACACAGGCUUGCCUUUAAUCCACAAUGUGUUUUCAAAAAAAAAAAAUCCACUGUAGAAUUAUAGCAAAAGUACAAAUAGUAACUUCAAACAGCUCAUAAUAUUAACCAAAACACCCUUACAGUUCUACAAUUCAGCAGAUUCAUUCUAUUUCAUAGGUUAUGUUGAUCAACAUCCACAAAAGUUAGCUGAGAAUAAAAAAAGAGUUGAAUUAAUAUGUAAACGUUACCGUUUUUAUUCAAUAAAUUAGAAAUACAUUAAAACAAAAUGCCCAUAUAAAGAAACCCAAGCUGAUAGCAGAUACAUUCAACACAAUCAUUGCUAAACUGUGUUCAAUACUCAUAACCAAAGUUUCACUAGCUAUUUAUUAAAUAAAACCAACUCAUUUGGGGCAGACAGGCUCGAAUGCGAAUGGACCAACGUUGAAAAGACUGUACUUGAGCUUAUUGAAGAUGAUCGUUGCAUUUUCAGGUUUCACCACUGGUUUUAGAAAGGAGCCCAAGUAUCCACCGUGGAGCUUCGACACUUUGCUGCAUUUAGCGUCCGGAGACUUCACUAGGUAAGCUCGGCAAUUUCUGAUGGCGUAGUUGGAUACCGUUUUAGGGGCAUAUAGCAGGAAAUAUCCGUUCUUGUCCGUAGUUGCCUCCGAUGUUGCGUUCUUCUUGUUUUUGCACAAAAGUCUCACCACCGCACCUGCAUACACAAAUAACAGAAAACAAAAUAAAAGUAAAUAACUAGCAUUUGUAUGAACUUGUUAAACGGAUACCAAAAAGCGACUAGUAAAUAUGAACGAAUUCCAACUAAUUCAUAGUAUUUGUUUAAAAUUAUUGUGGUAAAUUUAUUUUACCUUUGUCAAUUUAAAACUUUUUGAUGAGGGCAUGACAUGAAUAACAAACAAGUUUUUUUUUACCAGUUGAGCUAAAGCUGAUCAGAUAGAAGAUAUAGGGAACAAGGACGCGCUGCAUAUUUGAUUGUGUUAACCAAAAAUUUAUUAUUAGUCUCACAAACACAUUUUAACUAAUUCAUUAUCUUAAUGUGGUUUUCUAUUUUAAUGGUAAACUAGAUUCUGACCCGCCCUUCCGAAGGGCGGGUAUACUUUUUGUUUUUAUUUUUUUAAAGAAAUUUAAUUUUUAUAUUUUUUUUGUCAUCAUAUUUAUGUUAUUCUUUAUAAUCAUAUUUGUGCAUAAAUUUUAAUCAAAAAAUAUUAUAUAAAAUAAUAGCAACUUAAAAAUUGACCCGGCAUACUCUAUUUUCUUUAUAAUCAUAUGUAUGUAUACCUUUUUUUUGUAAUCAUAUUUAUUUAUUCUAGAUUUUUACCCGCACGUAUAAUGUUACUUUAUAAUUUCUUUAUUUUUUGUAAAUAUGUAACAUUUUUUAUAUGUUAAAAAAAAUGUUUGUGUAUAAUAUUUUUAAAAAUUAUUAGUAUUAAAACAGUCCUAAUAUAUUAAAAUAUUCUUAAAAUGAUUUAAGUAUCUGCAUUGGAGAUGAAUCUAAACCUGUAUAAUAAUGACCUAUCAAAUGCUUCAAAUAAUUUAUGAGAUUGUUAUCGAAAGUUUUUAAAAACAAAAAAGAGAUGCAUCUUAUCAUAUAAAUCUAAACCGUCAGAAGUCGGUUAAUAUACGUAGGUGAUAGAACCUGGGUCCCACCACUAUUAGAAUUUUUGUGAAAAAUAAAAGGAAUACGGUUAUAAACUUAUACCCAAAUUUUUAGAUGCAGUAAUAUUAUUAAGUUGGACACAACAUAUAUCAAUGGGUCAUGAUCCUAAUUUAAUAGUAUUGAUUUAUGUUUAUCCAUUAUGAUUUUUUAUUAAGGGACAUGAACUAUCCUUCACCCGGCUGAGCUAAUCUUGCGUGGUAAUAUAGUUAACAGUUUAAACAAAAAAAUGUGAACACUUUCCCGGUGAAAUACGUAUAGGGUAAAGUAUGGGAGUGAAGCGUAGAUUUUUCAUCAUUAGUUUACAUAUGAUACGUACCUUUUUUUUUGUAACUUAUAUAUGAUACGUACCUUUAACGGGUUUGGCGCCUUGGAGAUUGUUUACACCGGCAUACUUGCAGGCUUUGCAGAAGACCACACCCCGCACGGCCACUAGUGUCCUGUUGAACUUAGGAGGAGAAACCGGUGGGAGAACAACCGGAGGCUUGAUCGGAGCUUUGGCUGGUGGGAGUGUUGGCACCUUGAUCGGAGCUUUGGCUGGUGGGAAUGUUGGCACCUUGAUAGGAGCUUUGGUAGGUGGGAGAGUGGGUAAUGGUGUUAUUAGUUUAACUGGAGGUACUUGAGCUAUAGUACUGAAAACAGAUGAAGUGAAGCAGCAAAGUGCUAUGAGAGUUAGCAAAACACUCUUACCGAUGAAACCCAUCUUUAUCUUCUUGCUUUUGUUUGUGUGUGAGUUUGGGUUAAUGUGAGAAGGUGUACUUAUAGGAGAUUUCAGGCUUCGAGUAUUGUUUUUAUAUUGUGUUGUGCGUAGGUAGAUAGCACAGUAGCACAUGCACACGUCUUGCGAGGUAUUCGGGAAGUUUCCGAUAACUCUUGUUAAAGAUUUUGAUUUAGAUCUCCUACAGUUCUUUAUUAUUUGUCAACCUGGUUUCAAUACUUAUUUUUGAGUCAUAUAUGUAAGUGUAAUGUGGUUUUCUAUUUUAAUGGUAAACUAGAUUCUGACCCGCCCUUCCGAAGGGCGGGUAUACUUUUUGUUUUUAUUUUUUUAAAGAAAUUUAAUUUUUAUAUUUUUUUUGUCAUCAUAUUUAUGUUAUUCUUUAUAAUCAUAUUUGUGCAUAAAUUUUAAUCAGCUCUUGUUCAAAGACCCGGUUUGAAUAAACGGUACGGGCAUGAGAGGAGUGUCAGGGCUGAGAACCAGAGAAGGAAAGUCCAGGAUGCUGGGGGAAAGUUUCUCGGGUAAUCCUGAAUGUACUGGAUGGAUCUUGAGAUGCUUCUUCGAGUUGCGGCGUUCGUAGAGUCGAAAACCUAGGGAGGAAGAAGAUUGCUUCUUGUUGGGAACAGCUUUGACUAGAGGAAUUGAGUACCUCUGUUCGGGUUUGUGGGUCGGGUUAGGCUUCUUGGAGGAUCCGGUGAGCAUCUGGACGACUUGCUUGAAGGAGGAAGCAUCGGUUUGGAAGAAGGUAGUUCGUUCAGACAUGGAGGUAACGUGUCGGGUCGGACUGCUGAUGCUGCUUGGUGAAGGAAGCGAGCUCUGUGCGUUAUCUUUGUAUCUUGGUGAAUUUUUCAUUGAAGCACGCGUUGAGAAAGAGGUCUCGUG